Molecule: long non-coding RNA, 1274 nt
Organism: Halichondria panicea
Lineage: Eukaryota; Metazoa; Porifera; Demospongiae; Suberitida; Halichondriidae
Exons: 3
Source: RefSeq, a predicted model, not a curated record
UACAUGAUUCAACACUAUUCAUCCACACACUACUAUUCCUUAUCCUUUGGUAGCAGCAAUAUAAGACUGCCAAAUGCCUUUCCUUGUCACUGAAUUGAACUGUAAUAGGAAGAUCUAGUUAGCUUGCUAUAGCUCCUUCCAUGUCCAUAUCUUCACUUGCGCGCUCUUGUUUGUUGAAUAGACCUAUGACCAAAUAAGGGCACGUGCAAUUAUGCAGCUGCAGAUUUGCAGCUGCACACAUCAACAAAAAUUAUUUGCUGGAGUUUUUAAAGAAGCAGACAAGUUGAGCUUUUAGAGAACGCUUUGAGAGUUGUUUGACAAAACUGUGUAACUAGAACCGAAUUUCUCCUAAAGGACAAGCAAAGCGCAAGUAAACACUUCAUUAGGGCUUAAACAAGGGAAGACCAAAGCCCAUUGCCCUAAGCUUCGUUCAGCAUGCACAACACAAGAUAUGAAGUUAAAAAAAACGUGUGGAGCAACCAUACUACUGGACACCCUUAAGUAUAGACAUAAAUCAAGGUAUGUGCAUGCUGCUGCCGUAUUGCCACAAUUUGUUGUCAGUGAUUAAUAUGUUAGUUCUGUUAGUCCUGCUUUUGCACACAAAACAAGAGUGUAACAGUUCAUUUUGUUCCAAAAAUAAUUGUCUUACUUCAACCUCUCUUCGUAUCACAUCUUUGUACUUAGCCUAUAAAGUCAGCAAAAGAUUUGUAGAAUUGUUGUUACUAGGUUACUAAACACCCCCUAAUCUGUAUGUAUAUAAAUUGUGCUUGAUCAGAGGCCGCUCUUACAAUUAUAAAGGUUGAAUAGUAGCAUCUCAAUUGCAUCUUUAUUGGUAGCCUCAGUGAACUUUGACCCUCGCUGAGACAUAUCUGCAGUGGGAGCCAUGCUUAUUGAUACUGCACGGUAUCUAUGUGCCAGUUAGCUUGGUAGCAGCUUGCUAGUGCUUUAGUUAAGAGACUGUCCCAUGGCGGAGUUUGAAUGUGUGCAGAUGAAAGAAAAUUGUACCUAUAUUGGCCUUAUGAAUUGUAGCAUUUUUUGCCAGGAAAAUAAGUAACCGCGGCCUCUGAUCACGCAAAUAAUUAUGAAUCUGCCACCUGUAGCACAUUGACCUUAAUUUUCAGUAUGAUUAUGAUAGCAAGUUGUUCCUCUUCAGAGUUUUAGGCAGACCCAUUGUUAACAUUCAUUUUGAAUUAUUUAUAGCAAGCUAUUAAUUGUUUUGACAAGGCUUGCAGUAUAGCAGUUCUUCCAAACCUUAUUGUUCUGCUCACAAUAAU